UGGCACAUAGAAAUGACUUCUUCUCAUUCCUUUUGGACCAGGAAUACAUCCAUAACAUGUUAUAUUUAAAAAAAAGUUCUCAGGGCUGCCAACUUUAGAGUAGAGGUUGAGUGGUAGUAUAUUUCUCCUACAUUA
This 135-nucleotide small nucleolar RNA is filed under the name Chinchilla lanigera (long-tailed chinchilla). RNAcentral's name for it is "Small nucleolar RNA U109 (ENSCLAG00000020151.1)". It matches the Rfam family "Small nucleolar RNA U109". Lineage: Eukaryota; Metazoa; Chordata; Mammalia; Rodentia; Chinchillidae. The record is from Rfam by way of RNAcentral.